RNAcentral lists this long non-coding RNA (2132 nucleotides) under Medicago truncatula (barrel medic). Its description in RNAcentral is "long non-coding RNA (MTRU_LNC002531)". The stretch from base 1491 to 1569 matches the Rfam family "MIR5269 microRNA precursor family". Lineage: Eukaryota; Viridiplantae; Streptophyta; Magnoliopsida; Fabales; Fabaceae. The record is from RNAcentral.
UGGCGUAUAAAAUUGAUCUAUCGACCAUAAUAAUAAAAACGCAAAAUGCUUUUCGUGCCACAGUUAUACAAUCAAUAUCCUUAAAAUGGCUGGAAUUCAUCAUGAAAAUUUCGAGAAGUUGUUUCUUUAUAAGUCUGACAAUUUCAUAACACAAUUAAUUUAUUCAUGAAGUUAUUUCUUUGUUCUUUAUAAGUAUUGGAUAAUUUUCAUUUGACAAGAAAAAUGGUUUCACCAUACAUAUUGUAAAUUAUUUCUUUGUUCUUUAUAAGUAUUGGAUAAUUUUCAUUUGACAAGAAAAAUGGUUUCACCAUACAUAUUGUUUUGUUCUUGCUCGAUCCCAUUCACUUAUCUUCGACAAAAUAGAAAGCCUUUGGAAACAUUAAACCUUGUGUUUAUUUUCUAUUCCUUUUCCUCUUUAGCUGAUAAAUGAGAACAAAUUUUUAAAGAGAGGUUCGACAUAAACAUGGUUUUAGGUUUUCUCAGAAAGCUUUGAGAAUAGCUUGAUCAGCGAUCAAGUGAGCGAGUUUGAGAUAGGGAGAAGCCGAUAAAAGCUCAUGUAAUAUUCUUCUCUGAAAUCUGUUGAUUCUCCGAGCAAAAGCUUCCGCGAAAUACUUAGCAACCUUACUCAUCGCUCCAGUUGGCAACGAAGCUGACAACACAAUACGAUUCACAAGCAUGUAUGCGAGCUCAAGAUUGUUUAGCUGAAGAGCUUCGCCACACACCAUCAAAGUGUGAACAAGUUCAACCCCUGCUUGUGAGUCGAAGAGGAACCACCGAUCUAAUGGGUUCAGUCGACGGAAAUAAUGUUGAAGUUGAAAGAAUGUCACUCCCAUCCCAUUCAGUCACCCAAGUUGUUCCAUGUGGGUCAAUGGGAACCACCGGUGGUUUAAACCAGAGAUAAUGUUGAAGUUGAAAGAAUGUCAUUUCCGUCUCAUUCAGUCACCCAAGUUGUUUCAUGUGGAUUGAUGGGAACCACCGGGGGUUCACUGGACGGAUACAAGGUUGAAAGAAUAUCAUUCCACAUGUUUAAAUUCAACAAAAUAUUCAACCUUAUAAGGAGGAGUUUCUGUGCUUAGGUGUUUUUUUGGUUUUGCAUAUGUUUCAUGCCAAUGUACAGCUGCUGUGCUGAUUGUUUUGUCCAUUGUAACAAUCUGCCUUUUGCACAUCUUGUGCUAGGCUCUUUUCUAUAUAUAAUAUGCUGAUUCAAAAAAAAAAAAAAAAUACAAAGAUCAAGAUUACUAUUACCACAAAAUAUAUAGAUAACUUCAUGAGUUGUUUACCAUGUCUUAGAAAAAUUUAUUUUACUAGUGUUUUUGAAGUAGCAUUAACCUCGUUUUCGCAAUGACAUGACAUAUUGCACAAUGCACCAAAUUGAGUUUGAUUAAUCGGUAUUAAGAAGUGUUGCAAUCGGUUAAUCAAACCACUUAUCUUCAACAAAACAUGUAUCCAUUUAGAAGUGCUAGCAACACUCUCUCUAGAUCACUCUCUUAUUGGUUUAAAUGAUUGUGUGUCUACACUUUGAAAAUAGAAACCAUACAAAGUGGUGAGACAUACUUUGAUUUCAUCCAAUAAAAGAGUGAGUGAGAAAAAGAGUGUUGAAAAGUUUUGCUAGCAUUCCUGUUGGAAACAAUAACUUAUUCUACUCAUUUUCAGCCAGCUGAAAUUAUAAAUGUUAGAAAUGUUAUAGAAAAUGGUUGAUAGCAUAUAGUAGCAUAUCUCUAAUCCCAUGUCCGAACCAAUUUUCAAAUCUCCAAAGUAAGUUUUCCCCCACAUCUGGUUCUCCAUUAAAACAAUAAGUAUAUUUAGAGAACCAUGACUGAGGAGAUUUGUUAUCAGAGGCUGAUUUAGCAAAGGAAUUACAAACAUUACAACACCUACAUCAAAAUACGUAACCAUAAAUACAACAAAAUAUUUCACAUUUAAGACUCAGUGAUCAAACACCAUACUCUAUUACUGAAUCAAUCAGUAGUAUGAAUUGUAACAAUCAAAUUUAAAUUCAACAAAAUAUUCAGCCUUUGAGAACAUUAUCUUCAUAUUACAUAAUAUUAUCAAAACUUGGACACUGGCAUGUAGGAUAAAUAAUAUAAUAGUAAAGUAGAUAAGAUCAGCUACCCUAAUUCACCUAAUUAAUG